Molecule: ribosomal RNA, 468 nt
Filed under: uncultured bacterium
Lineage: Bacteria
Description: partial 16S ribosomal RNA
Rfam family: Bacterial small subunit ribosomal RNA
Source: RNAcentral
GACGAACGCUGGCGGCGUGCUUAACACAUGCAAGUCGAACGGAAACGCCCUGCUUUUGUGGGGUGCUCGAUUGGCGAACGGGUGAGUAACACGUGAGUAACCUGCCCUUGACUUUGGGAUAACUUCAGGAAACUGGGGCUAAUACCGGACAGGAGCUCCUGCUGCAUGGUGGGCGGUGGAAAGUUUCGGCGGUUGGGGAUGGACUCGCGGCUUAUCAGCUUGUUGGUGGGGUAGUUGCUUACCAAUGCUUUGACGGGUAGCCGGCCUGAGAGGGUGACCGGCCACAUUGGGACUGAGAGACGGCCCAGACUCCUACGGGAGGCAGCAGUGGGGAAGAUUGCACAAGGGGCGGAAGCCUGAUGCAGCAACGCCGCGUGCGGGAUGACGGCCUUCGGGUUGUAAACCGCUUUCGCCUGUGACGAAGCGUGAGUGACGGUAAUGGGUAAAGAAGCACCGGCUAACUACGUG